Molecule: non-coding RNA, 30 nt
Filed under: Homo sapiens (human)
Lineage: Eukaryota; Metazoa; Chordata; Mammalia; Primates; Hominidae
Source: RNAcentral
UCACAGGUGAAAUGGUGUCUGACCACUGGC